This is a long non-coding RNA of Syngnathoides biaculeatus (alligator pipefish), 4551 nucleotides long. RefSeq lists it as uncharacterized. The transcript is spliced from 4 exons. Lineage: Eukaryota; Metazoa; Chordata; Actinopteri; Syngnathiformes; Syngnathidae. The record is from RefSeq and is a predicted model, not a curated record.
UCAGAAACCCAUUUUCCUUAGUAAGGUUUUGUGUUCUCGCCCUGCUAUGCCGUUUAUCCUCACUAGGGACACAGGCGUGCUUGGAGCCUAUACCAGGUGACUCUGGACAAGUUGCGGUGUACACCCUAAACAAACAGCCUUCAGUGCUAUCCUUCAGACCUACCAUUCAUGUUUGGCAAUGGCACAAGGGUCCUCAGAACUGGGAGGUAGAUGUGCUAAUAAAUUGGCUACCAUGCAACCACACUCGGGUUUACAAUCGCAACUAUAUGGUGAUGCAGAAGUAAUGCAACAAGAAUGUAUUUACAUGAGUAAUGCUUAGUCGUAAGAAGCAAUUAGGUAGUUUUUAUUGGCUCUGUUUUAGAGACUUCAGUGCAUUUAACAACGUGGUUAUUGUGGUUGGAGUGACUAUUUGUGUUAUGGGGCUUUCAGCCCAAUACAGAAACAUCUAAGUAGGAUAUAGCCCUGUUUUUACAUCACUGAAAACUGCAACCACAACAAUCAAUAUUAAACCUGGCCUACUUCUCUGGCGGUGUCGAAACACGGCAUUUUUUUUUCCGUUUUCUUUUUAUCCUUACUGUAUUGGACAGGUGUACCCAAGCCAGUGAGUGCACCAAAUAGUCCAAUCUAUCCUAUUACAGACACGACGAAUUAUUAUGAAGUAAAGCAGGCUAACGUGUGUGGUGCAAAAUAGGUCAGAAUGACGCACUGAAGUAUGAUCCAAAGCGAAAGUUUAAAACGACUCUUGCACUGUAAACUCUCCACCUUUUCCCCGAAAUUACUGUUUUAAUUUCACUUUCCUUCUGACUGGCAAAUGGGAAGUUCCAAACAAGGUAUUUGCAUCGUUAAGAAGGACUUUUGGCGGACGGCUGAGACGCGGAAGGUUCUGCUUAUUUUCCCAGCAUGGAAAGCCACUCUGUCUCGGGUCAGGCAAGAUGAGGACGAGAGCUGACGUGACACCGCCCUUGAGCUCGCUGAAGGCCGCCUGGCAGGCCGGAUUCCAGUGGAAGGGUGAGGAGUGGGCCACUGAAGGACGGCCUCGACCUUCCCGGGAUCCAUGCGGGUCACCCCCUCUGCUGGGACAAAACCCAGGAAUGAGAUGGAGGGUCGAUGGAAUUUGCAUUUCUCUGCUUUAAUGUACAAGUCGUGCCGAACAGCUGCUGCCGCACAGCCCAGAUGUGCCCGACAUGAGACUCUUCAUCCGGGGAAAAAAAUCGGUCUCAGGUGCCCACUAACUGAAGACAUGUGUCCGAAUGUGAGCGUAACCACGGUGACGGCAAAACACACUUCCGAUGGCCUCCACGCACCCAGAUUCUUUUUGGUGAUUGUGGCAUGAUGAUUCACUUAAAAAGUAUGCGGAGCUGUGCCCCAACAAGAAUACACAGAAGAAAAUUCAUGACAUUGCAAAUGCUUUCAUUUGCAUUUUUUUAAUUUGCAUUGGAUUCACGACACAGUUUUAAAUGACUUUUAAAUGUAUUGGCUUUAAAACCCACACCGGUGUCCAACUCAAGGCCGGGGGGCCAGAUCUGGCCCACCUCAUGAUAUUAUGUGGCCCACGAAGGCCAAUCAUCUGUCAACUUCCAUGAUUCUUACGAAAAUCUGGACCAAGAUUUAAAAAUGUCACGUACAGUAUCAUAAAUGAUGACGUUGAGAUAUUAUAAGCAUUUUUGUGUUGCCAAAUAUGAACAAUGGUUGAAAAAUCCAUUGUACUUGAUUUCUGAUUCAAAAACUAGUUAAUAGAUUUCACGUGUAAAUAUGAGGCGAUUAAAGAGUUUUCUGAUUUCACAGUCCUGACAGCCCUCUGAGGGAAUCCAUGACUACAAUGUAGCCCGCGACAAAAAUGAGUUUGACACCCCAGCUGUAAAAUCUGUCAAACAAUAUUAUUGAUACAAAUGAUUUGGUGAUAAUUGGUGUGUUAUGAAUCAUAUUUAUUUCCAUCCCUUGCCCCCAGAAUCUUUGAAAUGUAUUUAGUUUAUGUCUGAAUAUGGUUGUAGUUUCCAAAACGGGCUAAUCUUGACGCAUCAUCCUUCUUUACUUGCACCAAAAAAAGAGGAAACAAAAGUAAUCCAUGACCCGGAGUUGGUUUGGUUAAAGAAAACCGUUUACUUGAACUCCAACAGCAAAAAUAAAGUAAAUAAAAUUGUUUCCAGAUCGAAUGGGCACAGCAUAUCCAGGUCAAUGAACAAAAAUACAAAGAAAAUGAUGAUGAUGGUCAAAAAACUUUCGCACCACCAUCCAUAUUUCCAAUGUCACUCUUUUUUUGCCUAACCUUUGUUCUUCUUCCGGUUCAUUACAUCAUCACAACAUACUGUAUCAACUACAGUAUGUAGCAAACCUCAAAUCCUAAUUUUAAAUAUCCCAGAAUGCAUUAUACUCAUCAUCCACAGCAUACAUAUAAUAGACAAUUAUCAAUACACAAUAUCACAUAAUUAAAACUUAGCUGAAAUUAUUUCACUAAUUAUUCUGACCGAAAAUAUUUGAAGAACAGAAAUUAUAUAUAGGCUCUUACAUUACCGGCCCCUAAUUGCUAUCAAUGUUCUUGAUACAGUUAUCUAAAUACAACUCUAUAAGUACAGUAUAUAGUUACACAUUAGAGUUCAGAUAUUCCAAAUAUCUCUUAGCCCUGUGGACAAGAAAAAGACAACAUACAGGCAUUAGCAUCUUUUGUAAAUCUUUUCUUCAAAUUUAAUGCGCGUUGCUCAGCGACUGACCUGUUGUUUGGCAGAUGAAGUGACUUGUUUUUCACAGGUAAACAAACAAUGUAAUGACCAUUUGAAAGCUUGGCGGCGUGAGAAACAAUUUGGAUGAAGUGAUGAUCAUCCUUCAACCACUUGUUUUUCUCAUUUUGUCUGACAUCAGGAAAGUCAUGCUUAAACUGCAUUUGCCAGAGCUCUUCUAGUUUUGUCACUGAUAUUUUGUCUACAGAGACUUCUGCUAAUUUGUUUACCUCCAUGUCAUUUCCACCUUUUAGUGGUCUAUUUAUUGUCCAGCCGAGUAUCAUCCUCACUGCAUAAGGUCCAUCAUCCACACUACUGAUUUUCCUUUACCGGUUCUUCAUUCUUAAAGUUAAUGUGUAACAAUGUAGGAUGUUGGGGGGAACAUUCUUGACACUGUACCUUUUCUUUACAGUCUUUGCUCAUAUGACCAUCUUUUAGACAUGCAAAAUAUAGGCCAAUGAUUCUCAAAAAUUCUAAAUUUUCUUUAUGAGGGUUGUCCUUGAGUUUUUUGCAGGUUGGGAAACCCUGUUGGCUUACUUUGCAGUAGGCACAGUGAUUACUCUCUUAUCUGUUUCCUUCACUUUUAGCUUUAGAAGAAGCUACAGCUGUUGUAAACACCUUCUGUGAUUUGUUCCUAUCUCCAUGCUGUGACUUUAACUUCUGUUGAGGUGAUUGAAAGUCCUUGAAGUUUACGCUUUGCUUGUUUUUUUCUUGAGUAUGACAGGUAACAUUCACCAGGUUUCUUUGAGCUUAUAUGGGAGCUUAUUUACUAGUGCCUUUAUGUUAGCUGUAUUGUCCAAAUCCUCCAAAUACCUAAACUCAUACAUUGCAUUGAAGAAUCCUGUGAGGAACAACGAAUAAGACUGUGACACAUCGCCAUCUUCCGGUUUGAUCACUGGCCAAUCCAAGACCUCCUGAAUGUAGGCUUCUGCUAUCUUAUAGUCAGAACCAAAAAAUUAAUUUGCUUGGCUUUUACAUAACUGACUGAGGGUUCCUUAUGCAAACAACUUUUGACCAAGUCAUGUGAUGGUCCACUUGUGUAUUGCAGAAGAAACUGUAAUUGGUCCCGAUUAUCACUAGUUCGGCCUUCUACUCCAUGUUCCAUUGAUCUAAUAAAGGAUUUAUAUUCAAGAGGAUCACAUGUAAAUAUUGCAAUCUUGAGAUCGGGGAGUAAUAAUGCCUGGUGGUUUUUUGCAAGAUAUUCAGUCACACAAAUUUGUUGAGAGAUGGUCUUACAUAAACUCUCAAGCACUGCUUCUUUCUCACAGUCCACCUUUGGUUGUGUCACACGUCCUGUCAUCGAUACUCGCUGAUUGUUGAACUGGUUGGAUGAAAUUGAGCUACUUUGCUGUGGCUGUGAGCCAGCAUGCAUUUUCUGCGUCAUCAAUUUGUUCAUCUACCUGCUCUUCUUCAUCAAAUAUACUCAUUCCUGCUUGUGAGUGUUCAUAAUUUUGUAAAACUUCCAUUCUCGCACCAGCUGCUGUAAAAGUAGUCCGCAUUGCAUGCAUCUCUUACAACAGUGAAUAAAGUAGUUUCUUUGUUUAAGUGCUAAUGCAAUUUAAAAUUAUUGCGUAAACGUACACAUAGUGAGAAAAGUCCCGCACAGACAUGAGGGUGGAACUUUUAACACAUAUUCCGGAAUUGUUUCUUGCCUAAUAUGUGUAAGUGAAAGCUACAAAACGGAGAUUAUUUCCCAUAAGUGAUGUUGCAACACACUUUUAAAGUCUGACUGUUUAGUGAAUUGUGUAUCUUGUUAUUGUGAUUUUUUUUCCUUUUGGUGUGCUGUGUGUACAUUAAUGAAGAAGAAAUGAAAUUACAUGAUUUUAGCAAUCGGCUG